Molecule: non-coding RNA, 73 nt
Organism: Physeter macrocephalus (sperm whale)
Lineage: Eukaryota; Metazoa; Chordata; Mammalia; Artiodactyla; Physeteridae
Source: the annotation of a RefSeq genome assembly
UCCCUGGUGGUCCAGUGGUUAGGACUCCACGCUCUCACUGCGGAGGGCCUAGGUUCAAUCCCUGGUCAGGGAA